Molecule: ribosomal RNA, 117 nt
Filed under: uncultured bacterium
Lineage: Bacteria
Description: partial 16S ribosomal RNA
Rfam family: Bacterial small subunit ribosomal RNA
Source: RNAcentral
UAACGUUCCCGGGCCUUGUACACACCGCCCGUCACACCACAAAAGCGAGUAACACCCGAAGCCGGUGGCCUAACCGCAAGGAGGGAGCCGUCGAAGGUGGGACCCGUGAUUGGGGUG